This 648-nucleotide long non-coding RNA is filed under the name Homo sapiens (human). RNAcentral describes it as "long non-coding RNA NONHSAT200863.1". The record is from RNAcentral. Lineage: Eukaryota; Metazoa; Chordata; Mammalia; Primates; Hominidae.
CGCCAUCUUUGCUGUUUGGAAAACGGCCAUUCCAGCCUGCGAGCUUUGGAGAGACCAAGCCCCCUGAGGCAGAGGCCGCGCCUCAGCAUGUUACAGCUGUUUUGUUGAGGUGUGGUGAGGUUGCUUCUUUAAAUGCGACCCUGAUACAUUCCUCCUCCCUGGGCAGGUCCUUCCCUCUGGAGCCUCCAGCCACCCCUGCCUGUGUUCUGUUGCGGAAAGACUUCUAAUUUCUCCUUGGGGCAGAGUGCCUGCGGAGUGGGGCGGGCCGCCGCCUUGGCUGUUUGUGAAGCGGCAUCGUUGUCUGGGGGUAUGAUUUAAUACACUUUACCGACCUGAAUUCAUUGGAUAUAUGUAAAAAUGAAGGAAUGCACGUUAUUCUGCUUGAUGCUCUGCAGAGAGGAGCUGCCUGAGAGGUUGCACCUGCAGUCCUGGAUGCACUGGCCCCAGGGGUGGUUGGUGCUGACUCCACAUUUGUCUAAUAAGAUGUCCAGAUACAAAAAUGUCUGUGAUGUGGGAACCGUUACAGAUCUAGGAGAGUUUUUUCAACAGCAAAAAAAGCAAAGCCUGUUUCUGUCAAAGUCUUUUAUUUUAUUUUUGAAUUUGACCUUUUAAAAUAAGAUUAAAACAUUCCAUCAAGACUCCCUUUAG